GUUCCAACUCGAGUGACGUCAUUAAGAGGCAAAUAAGUGAGGGAUGAAUAAAGUUAGCGGCAUCGUUCUUCGAACCAAAACCACUGAAAGCUGCUGCAAAAGAACUAUUGGAGGCGCCCUCUACCUUCGGAAUACAUGUAUCCAGGAUAUGUCCAUGCAAGAGGAAGACCAAAGAGAAGGUUGACAGAUGUAGACAUGAGGAUAGUUGGGAUGAGAGAGGAGGCUCCAAAGCAAAAGAAGAUGAAGGCAAUGCAAUCAAUCAAAUUCCCUAUAUGUGAGAAAUGUAUUUUAAAUGUGCAAGAAAUGUAGUGUAAAAUUUCUAAAAAUAAAUAAAACAAAAAUG
Long non-coding RNA from Phyllopteryx taeniolatus (common seadragon), 343 nucleotides. RefSeq lists it as uncharacterized. The transcript is spliced from 2 exons. Lineage: Eukaryota; Metazoa; Chordata; Actinopteri; Syngnathiformes; Syngnathidae. The record is from RefSeq and is a predicted model, not a curated record.